UGGGGAAUUUUGGACAAUGGGGGCAACCCUGAUCCAGCAAUGCCGCGUGUGUGAAGAAGGCCUUCGGGUUGUAAAGCACUUUUGUCCGGGAAGAAAUCCCCUGCCCUAAUACGGCGGGGGGAUGACGGUACCGGAAGAUAAGCACCGGCUAACUACGUGCCAGCAGCCGCGGUAAUACGUAGGGUGCGAGUGUUAAUCGGAAUUACUGGGCGUAAAGCGUGCGCAGGCGGUGAUGUAAGACCGAUGUGAAAUCCCCGGGCUCAACCUGGGAACUGCAUUGGUGACUGCAUUGCUCGAGUAUGGCAGAGGGGGGUGGAAUUCCACGUGUAGCAGUGAAAUGCGUAGAGAUGUGGAGGAACACCGGAUGGCGAAGGCAGCCCCCUGGGCCAAUACUGACGCUCAUGCACGAAAGCGUGGGGAGCAAAACAGGAUUAGAUACCCCUGGUAGUCCAGCGCCCUAAAACGAUGUCAACUGGUUGUCGGGCCCUUCAUUGGCUUUGGUAACGUAGCUAACGCGUGAAGUUGACCGCCUGGGGAGUACGGUCGCAAGAUU
This 553-nucleotide ribosomal RNA is filed under the name uncultured bacterium. Its description in RNAcentral is "partial 16S ribosomal RNA". It matches the Rfam family "Bacterial small subunit ribosomal RNA", at positions 355 to 895 of the family's 1533-position model. The record is from RNAcentral.